AUGAAGUAUCUUGGGGUGCCAGUGACCUUUUCUUCUCUGCGAGUAGCUGACUGGAACUUUUUAGAGGCCAGAUUCAUUAAAAGAUGUGACUCUGGCUUGGGGGGCAAUGCCUCGUCUGGGGGACGUUUAACACUGCUUAAUGCUAAUAUUUCUAGCAUUGCCUUUUAUUAUAUGUCCAUGUACUUUUUAUCCAAAACUAUACUUGCCAGGAUUGACAAGUGUAGGAGGAGAUUCUUCUGGCAUGUGACCCAAAAUAAAAAACGAUAUUACCCGGUUAAGUGGACUAGAAUUUAUAGAUCCAAGAGUAAAGGGGGGUUGGGUGUGAAAGAUCUUCAUAAGCAGAAUCUCAGCCUGCUUACUAAAUGGUGGUGGAAGUUAGAAACUAAAUCUGGACUUUGGCAGGAUAUUGUGAAAGCUAAGUACUUCAGUAGGGCUACCGUGGCUGAUAUUAAAAUGAAGUGCAAUGACUCACCAUGCUGGAAAGCCAUUAUGAAGGUGAAAUAUCUUUAUAUGGCAGGGAGGAGAGUAAUUGUGCAAUCUGGAAACAUUGCCAGACUGUGGGUUGAUCCCAUUGGGGACAAUAUCCCUAUGGCUGAGCAGUUUCCUCAUCUUUUCUCUAUUUGCAAUUAUCCUGAGUGCACUAUUGAUAAAUGCUUAAAUGUUGAUCCCUCCUCAUUCUUUAGGAGAAGGUUGAAUAGUGAGCUUAAUGACCAGUGGGUUGUUGUGAGUAAAUUGGCUAGAGAAGCAUGUGUUUCAGACGCUGCUGAUGUGAUCAAAUGGGGCUUGGGUGGGAAAACCUCUUUUACCACCAAAUCUGUUUAUUCGUUCCUGGAAAAGAAUGUUGCUGGAUGCGAUUAUAGAUGGAUCUGGAGUGCCAGAAUCCCUCUCAAAAUUCAAAUAUUCUUGUGGCAACUUUUUCAGGAUGCUGUCCUGACUAGGGAUGUGAUGAAACACCGAGGGUGA
RNAcentral lists this ribosomal RNA (963 nucleotides) under Triticum aestivum (bread wheat). Its description in RNAcentral is "partial small subunit ribosomal RNA". Lineage: Eukaryota; Viridiplantae; Streptophyta; Magnoliopsida; Poales; Poaceae. The record is from RNAcentral.